RNAcentral lists this ribosomal RNA (448 nucleotides) under uncultured bacterium. RNAcentral describes it as "bacterial SSU rRNA". It matches the Rfam family "Bacterial small subunit ribosomal RNA", at positions 330 to 794 of the family's 1533-position model. The record is from RNAcentral.
ACCAGACUCCUACGGGAGGCAGCAGUGGGGAAUAUUGCACAAUGGGGGAAACCCUGAUGCAGCGACGCCGCGUGAGUGAAGAAGUAUUUCGGUAUGUAAAGCUCUAUCAGCAGGAACGAGACAAGACGGUACCUGACUAAGAAGCCCCGGCUAACUACGUGCCAGCAGCCGCGGUAAUACGUAGGGGGCAAGCGUUAUCCGGAAUCACUGGGUGUAAAGGGAGCGUAGACGGCUGUGCAAGCCUGAAGUGAAAGGCGGGGGCCCAACCCCUGGACUGCUUUGGGAACUGUACGGCUGGAGUGCAGGAGAGGUAAGUGGAAUUCCUAGUGUAGCGGUGAAAUGCGUAGAUAUUAGGAGGAACACCAGUGGCGAAGGCGGCUUACUGGACUGUAACUGACGUUGAGGCUCGAAAGCGUGGGGAGCAAACAGGAUUAGAUACCCAGGUAAC